RNAcentral lists this ribosomal RNA (330 nucleotides) under uncultured bacterium. Its description in RNAcentral is "bacterial SSU rRNA". It matches the Rfam family "Bacterial small subunit ribosomal RNA", at positions 568 to 898 of the family's 1533-position model. The record is from RNAcentral.
UUCGUAGGCGGUGCGGCAAGUUGGGAGUGAAAUCUCUGGGCUUAACCCAGAGGCUGCUUCCAAAACUGCUGUGCUCGAGUGUGGGAGAGGCGCGUGGAAUUGCAGGUGUAGCGGUGAAAUGCGUAGAUAUCUGCAGGAACACCCGUGGCGAAAGCGGCGCGCUGGACCACUACUGACGCUGAGGAACGAAAGCUAGGGGAGCAAACAGGAUUAGAUACCCUGGUAGUCCUAGCCCUAAACGAUCAGGACUUGGGGUGCCACCCGUUCGGGUGUCGUCCCGGAGCUAACGCGUUAAGUCCUGCACCUGGGGAGUACGGUCGCAAGACUGAA